This is a long non-coding RNA of Scomber japonicus (chub mackerel), 654 nucleotides long. RefSeq lists it as uncharacterized. The record is from RefSeq and is a predicted model, not a curated record. The transcript is spliced from 2 exons. NCBI's taxonomy places the organism in Eukaryota, Metazoa, Chordata, Actinopteri, Scombriformes, Scombridae.
UCCCCCGAACACUGAGUGAGUUAACGUUCCUCGCUGUAAUAAUCUAAAUGCUAGCAGCGGGACGAUUCAAACGUGGUGGUGGUGCUGAGGAGGCGGGACCUUUACAGGAUCGUCCUACCAGAGCACAUCGUUCUUCUGCUGCCUUUUAUUUUGGCGCUUUCUGUUGACGUCACAUCCUGCUUUGAGUAUUAACCAAUCAGCACCGAGUCGACCUGAAACCCCACCCAGGUGACUUCGGGUGUCUCCAGGUGACUCCGGGUGACUCCGGGUGUCUCAGGUCAUCAGGCUGCAGGGUUUCGGUGGUUCUGUCGUCCGUCUGAGCCUCGGCGUCCGUACCGCUGUAUUUAUUUAUAAAUAAAAAGAGACUUCCUGUCAUCUGCGGAGGUAAAGAUGUCUGCCUCUGUGUCGGCCAUUUUGUCUGCAGUUUGGUGCUUUUGGGCCUGUUUCUGUCAGGUUAGCAUCGUUAGCAUCGUUAGCUGUCUCCACGGAGACUGAAGCCGCUGGAUGUUAACCUGUUAGCCGGUUAGCUUCCUGCUGCUUCUGUCACUUUAAUCUCAUUUUCAUGAUUUUCAUGAAACGUUUCAGAAAUAUUAAAAACUCUUUUUCUGGGUGAAUUUUUCUGAAUAAUUUUGUAAUAAAACUGAUUUUCUCUGA